RNAcentral lists this ribosomal RNA (1328 nucleotides) under Pandoraea pnomenusa 3kgm. RNAcentral describes it as "bacterial SSU rRNA". It matches the Rfam family "Bacterial small subunit ribosomal RNA", at positions 258 to 1533 of the family's 1533-position model. The record is from RNAcentral. Lineage: Bacteria; Pseudomonadati; Pseudomonadota; Betaproteobacteria; Burkholderiales; Burkholderiaceae.
UAAAAGCUCACCAAGGCGACGAUCUGUAGCUGGUCUGAGAGGACGACCAGCCACACUGGGACUGAGACACGGCCCAGACUCCUACGGGAGGCAGCAGUGGGGAAUUUUGGACAAUGGGCGAAAGCCUGAUCCAGCAAUGCCGCGUGUGUGAAGAAGGCCUUCGGGUUGUAAAGCACUUUUGUCCGGAAAGAAAUCCUCUGGGUUAAUACCUCGGGGGGAUGACGGUACCGGAAGAAUAAGCACCGGCUAACUACGUGCCAGCAGCCGCGGUAAUACGUAGGGUGCAAGCGUUAAUCGGAAUUACUGGGCGUAAAGCGUGCGCAGGCGGUUUUGUAAGACGGAUGUGAAACCCCGGGCUUAACCUGGGAACUGCAUUCGUGACUGCAAGGCUAGAGUAUGGCAGAGGGGGGUAGAAUUCCACGUGUAGCAGUGAAAUGCGUAGAGAUGUGGAGGAAUACCGAUGGCGAAGGCAGCCCCCUGGGCCAAUACUGACGCUCAUGCACGAAAGCGGUGGGGAGCAAACAGGGAUUAGAUAGCCUGGUAGUCCACGCCCUAAACGGAUGUCAAACUAGUUGGUUGGGGAUUUCAUUUCCUUAGGUACGUAGCUAACGCGUGAAGUUGACCGCCUGGGGAGUACGGUCGCAAGAUUAAAACUCAAAGGAAUUGACGGGGACGCACAAGCGGUGGAUGAUGUGGAUUAAUUCGAUGCAACGCGAAAAACCUUACCUACCCUUGACAUGUACGGAUCCUGCUGAGAGGUGGGAGUGCUCGAAAGAGAACCGUAACACAGGUGCUGCAUGGCUGUCGGUCAGCUCGUGUCGUGAGAUGUUGGGUUAGUCCCGCAACGAGCGCAACCCUUGUCCUUAGUUGCUACGCAAGAGCACUCUAAGGAGACUGCCGGUGACAAACCGGAGGAAGGUGGGGAUGACGUCAAGUCCUCAUGGCCCUUAUGGGUAGGGCUUCACACGUCAUUACAAUGGUCGGUACAGGAGGGCUGCCAAACCGCGAGGUGGAGCUAACCCCAGAAAACCGAUCGUAGUCCGGAUCGCAGUCUGCAACUCGACUGCGUGAAGCUGGAAUCGCUAGUAAUCGCGGAUCAGCAUGUCGCGGUGAAUACGUUCCCGGGUCUUGUACACACCGCCCGUCACACCAUGGGAGUGGGUUUUGCCAGAAGUAGGUAGCCUAACCGCAAGGAGGGCGCUUACCACGGCAGGAUUCAUGACUGGGGUGAAGUCGUAACAAGGUAGCCGUAGGGGAACCUGCGGCUGGAUCACCUCCUUUCUAGAGCAUGCACUGGAAGUUGAGUGUUCACGCUUAUCGGUUGUUGA